Long non-coding RNA from Patiria miniata (bat star), 1225 nucleotides. RefSeq lists it as uncharacterized. The transcript is spliced from 4 exons. Lineage: Eukaryota; Metazoa; Echinodermata; Asteroidea; Valvatida; Asterinidae. The record is from RefSeq and is a predicted model, not a curated record.
UACCACGCCCAGCUCAAACUGCUGUACUUAGAAGUAGCACCUCGGGUAGAUUUUAUCAUUCCUUUGCUUCUGCCUGUAAGCAGCCAGACGCACCAAGAAGCUCGUUCAUCUGAUUCUCAAGACGCUGGGAAGAUUCGAUUUCAAUCUGAACUCGGACCUCGGAGCAAAUCUCUUUCAAGGAUGAAGAUCUUCGUCUUCAGUGUGUUUAUCGUCUUGUGCCUGAGCUUGGUCUCUGCGGCACCUUCACAUCCCGAAGAUGUGUACAAGGAGGAAGUCCAAAGGGCCAGAGUUGUAUUCUGCACCAGCCACAGCCAAUGCACUCUUCCUGGUGCAAAAUGCCUCUUUCACAAAGGCUACCCUGGGAAGUGCUACCCUCCAGCGAUUGGAUAACCCUUGAACUUUGAACCUUGAACUUGGAGAACAACGAUACUCCGGUGUUGGCGGGUUUAAAUUCGGUGUUUUGAGUUAAAUCGUAUGUCGUAGGUAAAUUAUCACUUUCAUAAUAAAUAAGGAGGGCAUUGUCGUCUGCAUUUUAUUGGGUGAUUGGGCUCAACCCCAUCCCCGUUUUAAAAUGUGUUUACGGUAUUAACUGUAUAACGUCAAACCUGACCCCAAGGUGUGCGUAUUACUCUGACGUCAUGAUGACGAAGGAAUGGUUCGUGGCUACAUGUAGCACCCAACAAAAUAUUAUUAUUUCGCACAGUGUAGUCACGAACUACGGAACAAUAGUCUUUCGUUUGCUCUGAGCAAUGCAUUAUUAUGCCCAUGCAAAUUUAAAAAACCCAUAAAACGUUUAUUUUUAGAAGAUGAGCAUAAUGUUGAAUAAACUCCAAGGACGUACGUUAGAGGCUCCGUCAAACUCGUCCAUUGAAUAUGUUGUUUCUAUUUUUUCAGUAGCCAUACGUUUUAUGUGCAGCCCCAGAAACGCGCUUCAAAUAUGUCCUGCAUAUAAUUAUUUGUCGAGAACAUGACAUAUUUUAUGUAGAUGAAGUCAAUGGCAGCAGCCAACGAACGAAGGCUAGGCAACUUCAAUAUGUUAACAUUAUCAUUCCAGUUCUAGAAUUUAGAUUUAGACCGAUUGUUCAACUGUUAAUUCUGGUUAUGAAUUUGUCAAUUUUCUAUCUCUAUUAUGCAUGAUUCAGUACUGGUUUUAGUUUAAUCAAUAUGGUGAUUUGAAGGGAAAAAACACGUUGGAAAUAAAAUUACGGUAAUCCAGAUAAGUUGA